UUUAAAUAUUUCAUAUAUUUUUCCUUUCAUAUUAAACAGUUUCAAAAUUGUACUAAUCUUUUAUAGGCCAAGAUUCUGUACGACGAAAAAAUGAGUCAUCUUAUACUCUAACGAGAUUUUUAAAGAAAAAAUUCUUUAGGAGUCCAUAAUGAUCAAAUGCGAGCUGUGUUGCCUAAAGCGAGGACGCAUAAUCUGACUCCCUGUUGGCAGAUGUGAUAAUCUCUGAUAGGCAACGCCAGAGUCUCAUCUAGUAGCUUCAAGAUCUCAAGAAGCGGCCAAUGUCCCGAGCACGCUUCGCAAUUGCAAUCGAACCAAUAUUGUAAUCUCAGUCUUCGUUUUCGUUCGUUCUCGGGCGUAGUUGUAAAGAUUGGACCAUAAUUUUCCGAAAUUUCUUCACCUGCUCUGAUUGUACGAGCGGCACGAACAACCAUAGUUGUACCGAUAAAGUACCUAAUAAUCAAUUUUUCACAUCAAAUUUCAAUUAUUUAU
Molecule: non-coding RNA, 489 nt
Organism: Nylanderia fulva
Lineage: Eukaryota; Metazoa; Arthropoda; Insecta; Hymenoptera; Formicidae
Source: RefSeq, a predicted model, not a curated record